This is a long non-coding RNA of Wasmannia auropunctata (little fire ant), 178 nucleotides long. RefSeq lists it as uncharacterized. The record is from RefSeq and is a predicted model, not a curated record. NCBI's taxonomy places the organism in Eukaryota, Metazoa, Arthropoda, Insecta, Hymenoptera, Formicidae. The transcript has 2 exons.
GAAAAACCUUAAGCGUCCGGCACAAUGGAAACUCCCCCUAUACCUGAAUUUAAAAAAAUACAGGUUAGUGCUUGGUUUGUUAAAAACGAGAAAGGAUCACUCUGUUAAGGCAUUAAAAUUUGAAGGCGACAUUAAAACUUAUGAAGAUAUACGAGAAGGAGAAGAAACGAUAAGCGAG